Molecule: ribosomal RNA, 467 nt
Filed under: uncultured bacterium
Lineage: Bacteria
Description: partial 16S ribosomal RNA
Rfam family: Bacterial small subunit ribosomal RNA
Source: RNAcentral
ACGAACGCUGGCGGCGUGCUUAACACAUGCAAGUCGAACGGAAAGGCCCUGCUUUUGUGGGGUGCUCGAGUGGCGAACGGGUGAGUAACACGUGAGUAACCUGCCCUUGACUUUGGGAUAACUUCAGGAAACUGGGGCUAAUACCGGAUAGGAGCUCCUGCUGCAUGGUGGGGGUUGGAAAGUUUCGGCGGUUGGGGAUGGACUCGCGGCUUAUCAGCUUGUUGGUGGGGUAGUGGCUUACAAAGGCUUUGACGGGUAGCCGGCCUGAGAGGGUGACCGGCCACAUUGGGACUGAGAUACGGCCCAGACUCCUACGGGAGGCAGCAGUGGGGAAUAUUGCACAAUGGGCGGAAGCCUGAUGCAGAAACGCCGAGUGCGGGAUGACGGCCUUCGGGUUGUAAACCGCUUUCGCCUGUGACGAAGCGUGAGUGACGGUAAUGGGUAAAGAAGCACCGGCUAACUACGUG